Molecule: long non-coding RNA, 751 nt
Organism: Hyla sarda
Lineage: Eukaryota; Metazoa; Chordata; Amphibia; Anura; Hylidae
Exons: 4
Source: RefSeq, a predicted model, not a curated record
CGCUUGCGCAGUUUACUACGGAAGGGCUAGCGUUGUCAGCGAGUCUGCGAGCCUAUGCGUAGUUUACUACGGACUUCGGGAGCGUAGUCAGAAUUUCAUGGUAAAAGAAGUGAAGUCAUUGCAAAGUACAAUUGGUGACGCAACAAACAAGCCCUUAUAUGAGUCUGUAGGUGGAAAAAUAAGAGUUAUGUCUAUUAGAAGGUGAAGAGGGAAAAAAACGAACAGAAGGAAUCGUCACAGAGGUCUGAACUAGAUGGAAAAUUAAAACGACUCUAAUAAGAGAAGAUAUUGGCAAUACCAUUUGGGCACUAUAGAUAGGCGGGGUUCAGACUUGUGAAAAAACUUGCAAUGCGUCCGAGACCUGACUCACUAGUCAGCUGAUGACAGGGAGCCUGUCUGCUUCAAUGGGUGAAGGGAUCAAUCUGCAAGUAAUGCAACAGCUGGAGACACCCUGAUUGAAAACCACAGUCUCCAGAUCUCAACUUCAUAGAAAACCUUUGGAGGGAGUUCAAAGUCCGUGUUGCCCAGCGACAGCCCCAAAACAUCACUCUAGCUCUAGAGGAGAUCUGCAUGGAGGAAUGGGCCAAAAUACCAGCAACAGUGUGUGAAAACCUUGUGAAGACUUACAGAAAAAAUUUGAUCUCUGUCAUUGCCAAAAAAAAGGGUAUAUAACAAUGUAUUGAGAUUAACUUUGUUAAUGACCAAAUGACUUAUUUUCCACCAUAACUUGCAAAUAAAUUCUUUAAAAAUC